This 600-nucleotide ribosomal RNA is filed under the name Sarcocystis suihominis. RNAcentral's name for it is "bacterial SSU rRNA". It matches the Rfam family "Eukaryotic small subunit ribosomal RNA", at positions 358 to 907 of the family's 1831-position model. Lineage: Eukaryota; Apicomplexa; Conoidasida; Eucoccidiorida; Sarcocystidae. The record is from RNAcentral.
GGUAACGGGGAAUUAGGGUUCGAUUCCGGAGAGGGAGCCUGAGAAACGGCUACCACAUCUAAGGAAGGCAGCAGGCGCGCAAAUUACCCAAUCCUGACUCAGGGAGGUAGUGACAAGAAAUAACAACACUGGAAAUUUGAUUUCUAGUGAUUGGAAUGAUGGGAAUCCAAACCCCUUUCAGAGUAACAAUUGGAGGGCAAGUCUGGUGCCAGCAGCCGCGGUAAUUCCAGCUCCAAUAGCGUAUAUUAAAGUUGUUGCAGUUAAAAAGCUCGUAGUUGGAUGUCUGUUGGAAGCAAUCAUCAGUCCGCCCUAUUUGAUUAGGGUGUGAAUAUGAUGAAUUCCGGCAUAAUUGUCUCCCUAUUAUCAAUAUAUAAGAUGAUCAUUAUUAGAUUCAUUUCUAAUAAUGCGUCUACUAUAUUAUUGGUAGUAUGGGAGAAAUGUUACUUUGAGAAAAUUAGAGUGUUUGAAGCAGGCUUUUGUUGCCUUGAAUACUGCAGCAUGGAAUAACAAUAUAGGAUUUCGGUUCUAUUUUGUUGGUUUUUUUUAGGACUGAAAUAAUGAUUAAUAGGGACAGUUGGGGGCAUUCGUAUUUAACUGUCA